RNAcentral lists this ribosomal RNA (433 nucleotides) under uncultured Azospirillum sp. RNAcentral's name for it is "bacterial SSU rRNA". It matches the Rfam family "Bacterial small subunit ribosomal RNA", at positions 378 to 826 of the family's 1533-position model. Lineage: Bacteria; Pseudomonadati; Pseudomonadota; Alphaproteobacteria; Rhodospirillales; Azospirillaceae. The record is from RNAcentral.
CAACCCUGAUCCAGCAAUGCCGCGUGAGUGAUGAAGGCCUUAGGGUUGUAAAGCUCUUUCACACGCGACGAUGAUGACGGUACCGUGAGAAGAAGCCCCGGCUAACUUCGUGCCAGCAGCCGCGGUAAUACGAAGGGGGCGAGCGUUGUUCGGAAUUACUGGGCGUAAAGGGCGCGUAGGCGGCCCGAUCAGUCAGAUGUGAAAGCCCCGGGCUCAACCUGGGAACUGCAUUUGAUACUGUCGGGCUUGAGUACCGGGAGAGGAUGAGCGGAAUUCCCAGUGUAGAGGUGAAAUUCGUAGAUAUUGGGAAGAACACCAGUGGCGAAGGCGGCUCACUGGACCGGAUCUGACGCUGAGGCGCGAAAGCGUGGGGAGCAAACAGGAUUAGAUACCCUGGUAGUCCACGCCGUAAACGAUGUGUGCUAGACGUUGG